CCUGGCUCAGGAUGAACGCUGGCAGUAUGCUUUACACAUGCAAGUCGUACGGGAGUUUUUAACUCAAGUGGCGGACGGGUGAGUAACACGUAAGAAUUUGCCUUUAGGAGGGGGAUAACAACUGGAAACGGUUGCUAAUACCCCAUAUGCUUUCGAGUGAAAUGGAUUUCCGCCUAAAGAGAAGCUUGCGGCUGAUUAGCUUGUUGGUAGGGUAAAAGCCUACCAAGGCGACGAUCAGUAUCUGGUUUGAGAGGACGAUCAGACACACUGGAACUGAGACACGGUCCAGACUCCUACGGGAGGCAGCAGUGGGGAAUAUUGCACAAUGGGCGAAAGCCUGAUGCAGCCAUGCCGCGUGUGUGAAGAAGGCUCUAGGGUUGUAAAGCACUUUCAGAAGGGAGGAAAGGUUGUAAGUUAAUACCUUGCAACUGUGACGUUACCUUCAGAAGAAGCACCGGCUAACUCCGUGCCAGCAGCCG
This 479-nucleotide ribosomal RNA is filed under the name uncultured Symbiodinium. RNAcentral describes it as "partial Bacterial small subunit ribosomal RNA". It matches the Rfam family "Bacterial small subunit ribosomal RNA", at positions 18 to 517 of the family's 1533-position model. The record is from RNAcentral. Lineage: Eukaryota; Dinophyceae; Suessiales; Symbiodiniaceae.